Molecule: non-coding RNA, 668 nt
Organism: Delphinapterus leucas (beluga whale)
Lineage: Eukaryota; Metazoa; Chordata; Mammalia; Artiodactyla; Monodontidae
Source: RefSeq, a predicted model, not a curated record
AGGUGGGGGGGGGAACUUGGUUUUAAAUAUCUGGCUUUCUAAACUUUGUUUUGAGACUGUUAGUAAUAGGGGUGUGCGGAGAACCCUUGAGAAAACCUUUUCUCCGGCUGGGAAAGGACCAUUGAUAGCUUUCUGUACAUGCGUGGUGGCCUCACUCCCCUUCUGGGAUGAGAUGGACUGAAUUAAACGCCAGGGUUACCUUUGCACCUGGACGCUGAGUGGACAUUAAAGCACCACCUGAGCAGAACUGCACGCUGCAGGCUCUAUCACUCUAACCUCAAAAACAGCCUGCAGUGAUUCCGGGAGCGAUACCACAGAGGACUCUUGUUGGGUUACCAUCUUGGACUUGAAGGAGGUCUUUUUUGCACACGCUUGAGUUUUGAAUCCCGACUUGUCUGCUUUCGCUGUUGGACAGUGCUUUCUCAGGGAGUUAAAAAUUCUCACAAUACUUGGAGAAAUCCUGACGAGACCUGAGGGACCUUGAACUAAACAGGGGAGCCCUGCUCCGGGCUGUGGACAACGCCCUCAUUACCAGUGAGACAAAGGACUUCUGAGACCAAGAUACGGGUUUGACUUCCAACUUCUUGGCUGAAAGAGGCUGUCAGGUGUCCGAGAAAAAGAGCACAGGCUCCGGACGCGCAGGCGCAGCGGCCAUGGCUCACGGGCCC